UCCAGAUCAGAUCAAAUCUGCAUCGACUGGUUCAAGGGGUCAGAAAAAAAUCUUUUAACUUUUACAGCCACAGAAAACAAACGAGUAAAGACUGAAUUCAAGAAAAACAUUCAGUACUGUUGUUUGCAAAACUUUAUUAGCAAUGAACAAAGUUACAGAGACAAUAAAUUAAUUAGUAAUAUGUGCCCUGGACUUGAAAUAUUUAAACUGCAGUAACAGACUGAAGCUUCUCCUUCAUGGAAGGAAAAGUUCAAAGCUUCACAGGUCAGAGAGGAAACAUCUGACUCUGCAGCUACAUGGAAAUAAUUACCAUCACUUUGGUUUCAUAACACUGUCCAUCAUAACAUUUAUUCAGCUGUAGCUGACCAGUGAGUCCUGAACACUAUCGGGCAGAUCACUGAUCGUCUGUAAUCUACAGUAAUUCGUCUUUUCUUCAUCACACACACACUGUAAAAUGUAAUAUUGUGUUUAAUUAAAAAUAUUAAAUAGGCUGAACUCAAUUUUUAUCAAUUUGUUAUUAGAACUCAAUUUAAAUAAGUUACCAGUACUUUUUAUGCAAAAAUGCUGAUAAACUCGAUUAAUUUGAGUUGUCCUAACUUAGAAAAACUAAGUAAGCUGGAAGUUUUGCUUCUCAGGGCGGAAGGAUGAAAGAUGUGUUUUGAAAAUGCCACGUGACUACUGUCCUCCCUCCCUCCUGGAUCAGUCCGCAUGUUCAUGGCGCCAGCAUUUGUUAUGGAAUAUAUUGAGCAAACCUGGAGAUAUUAUUGUUGUCAUUGCUGUGGAUCUUUACUGACUUGGCUCGGGAUCGGCACUCCUGUUGUUGGACAGAAAGACACCAACUCAGUGACUUGAGAUAUGACUGCACUAUGCUGUUGCUGUGACUCCAGUUAAUUCUACAAGACAUGCUGUGACACCAGGAGAGAUGAGUCCUCCAUCACAGAUGGUGUGGUCAGUGAAGAUGGUCGCCUACAGGUUCAAGCUCAUUGCAUCUCCAACCCACAUCCACUGCCACUGUACUUAAGGGAAGUUAAAGACUUUCUUCUGCACCUACAUUUGGAUCACCUCGAUCCAUGACAGUCAUUCAGGCAGUAAUGCCUGGACUGGAAACAAGCCAUCCUUAAAAUAUUACAACAUUCCAGCUCAUGUGUUGGAAUGAAAAACGAAUGUGUUGUUUAAAUCAGAGACUGCACUUGUGACAGAACAACAAAUAUUUUAUGUUGAUUAUAUAAAUAAUGUAAGUACAAAACAAACCUAAACUUAUUUUCAGAAUAAUUACAUCUGAGACUUUGUUUCAUUGUAAGAUUAUAACAGUGAUGGCAAUAUAAUUUUUAUUCAGCAGAACAGUGUCCAGUAUGUUGGCUGUUGUACUUUGUUGUGUUUGAAAAUAAAAGUUGUGCUCAUUUUAACAUCAUUACAAAAAUUGUUGUUAAUUAUUUUUAAUCAUAUUCAUGGUACCACAAAUUGUUUUUUCAUUUAGUUGAACUUGAAAUGUUUGUCAGUAGGUAAACAAUUAGUAUUGUCAGAAAGUGAGAAAUAUCAAGUUAUUCUUAAUACUGCAGACUUGCAAUGUAUAAGUUGUCCUAACAGUCAUCGUAAGUAAGCUUUACUUAGUUUUUUUGAGGCAACGAGUUUCCAUAAUUUUUUUGAGUUCUGGGAACUAACACGGCUGUGUACAUUUUGAGUACAGUGUACUCAAAAUGAGUAAGCUGCCCUAACUUGGUCAUCUUACGUAAACUUGAUCCAAUUUUUUUGAGUUCUGGGAACAAAUGAGCUUGUACAGAGUACUCAAAAUAAAUACGUUGUCCUAACUUAGUCAUUUUUAGCUAAGCUUUACUCAAUUUUUUUGAGGCAACGAGUUUCCAUAAUUUUUUUGAGUUCUGGGAACUAAUUAGAUUUUACAGUGCAGUGUUUGUGUUGUCAGUCGGUUCGGUAUGUGUGACAGUAAUUAUACUGUAACAGCUGAUCUCUACAUGAGGAUUAGUUUGUGUUUCAAAUCUCACAGAAAAGGUUUGAUCUUACAAACAGCUGAACUUGAAAUGAUUCUGAUGAACUCAUGAAUACUGAGUAAAAUCAAGCUAUGAGCAACAUGAGAUCUUUUGUUUGAAAUGAGUUCACUCUGAAAUAUUUGUGUGGAGAAACACAAAAAACCAUCACUAAAUUUUGUUUGAUGUGUUUUGUUUGAUAAUAGGAACUCCUGGAUGUUCAUCAUAUAAGUGAGGCGGAAAUAUAAAGACGUUUUCAAAGAAUUUGCUUUGAACUUUUACACUGAGAUGAGCAGGUAGGGCUGUGCGAUAUGAACAAAAUCUCAUAUCCCGAUAUUAAGACAUCUAUCGUCCGAUAACGAAUUAAAUCACAAAAAUGUAACAUUUUCUGUAAAUUCUGUGAAUCUCGGGCAUCUCGACUAGCGUGAAGUGUUUUCAGCUGGGCGUCGCGUACCUGGAGUCGAGUGUUUUAACUGAUGCAUGAAACGAUACAUUUUUAGACAUAUGUUGUAGCGGCGGCCGUUUUCUUUGUAUUUAUUACACAGCGUGCUGUGGGGAAAAGCCUGUUCUAACGUUUGAAUCUAAGGUUUAUUUUUUAGCACCUGACAGCUCUUUUUUGCUUCUCAUCCGUAAAUACUCUGCAUCUUUCACGUGAUUCAGUUUAUUUUGAAAAGUCUCAACAGGAUCUUGAGCUUUAUUGUGAAAGGUUUAUGUGGAAAAAUAAACAAGCGGACAUGUCGUGGUUUUACCGUCGUUGUUGCUAACGACAACGCAUAAAAACAAGCGCUUGUCUGUCUGUAGUGUGGUUAUAUUAAAUAUAAGAGAAAGAGAAAACUUUAAGAAAUUAAGAUAGCCACUACAGUGACCAUCAAAAUGAUGAAAAAAUAUUGCCGUAAACAGUUUAUUUUGCGACACCACGAAACAAACGAUAGCGUAAAAUGAACCGAUAGACGUUUUUAUAUCGUCAUCCGAUAUAUAUCGUUAUAUCGAACAGCCCUAUGAGCAGGUAACCUGAAAAGCUGAAUAAAUAGAGCCACUGAUUCUAAUGUUGUAAUGUAAUAUAUCAAAUUGAAGCUGAUAUAAUAGUCUAAAGAUGUUUUAUAAUAAUCAGAGAAAGGCAAAAUCAAAAUGAAAUCUAGAUGUGUUUGUCAUCUGACAGAGUAAAAUUCAGCAUCCCCUGUUGCUGUUUGUUAGGAUAAUUAUUGAUUUUCAAAGAAAACAUUGAAAAGAACAGAAGGAUUCUCAAAGCUGAGUUAUAAAACACUCCUUUGUUUUUGAUAGAACAGAUAACUGACAACAGCGGCAACAAGAACAAGGACAGCAGAAACUGACAGACUGACAAUCAGUACAACAGAUACAGCCUCUUUGUGUCCUCCUGCCUCCUUCCCUCCUGCCUCCUUCCCUCCAUCCUCUGUGUCUCCUCCUGGCUGACCUGCAGGUGAGAAACAGGUGUGAGGUGUCAGCUGUCAG
This is a long non-coding RNA of Oreochromis aureus, 3452 nucleotides long. The record is from Ensembl. Lineage: Eukaryota; Metazoa; Chordata; Actinopteri; Cichliformes; Cichlidae.